Long non-coding RNA from Leptonychotes weddellii (Weddell seal), 1132 nucleotides. RefSeq lists it as uncharacterized. NCBI's taxonomy places the organism in Eukaryota, Metazoa, Chordata, Mammalia, Carnivora, Phocidae. The record is from RefSeq and is a predicted model, not a curated record.
UUCCCUCCUUUGGUCCUUAAAGAACUUCUGUUCUCAGUGAUUGGCCCGGGCGGAGGCAGGCCUAGACUUAAAGGGACUGCGCCCUCCAGGGGCACGCGGGAGGGAAGUGACCUGUGGAGUUUGUAGCGGAGUUGGACCACUAAGAAGUUCCAGGGUUCCUUUUGGCGCUGGAAGAAAUUUGGAAGUCGCCUGGCCUGGUCCUGGUCAUCCGUUAUUUUCAGAAGAGACUGCGCCGCUGGUUCAAACUCCACACAGCGCUCCUCCUGCUCUUCCAGAAUCAAGGAAAGUUUGCUUCCCCAAGCAGGAGGACUGCAGAAGUGACCGGUGCUGAGCCAACCCCUCUCCAGGCCUGCUCCCCUUUGGGCUCAGGGGCCCCUGAUUCUAGGGCUGAGCCAGGGCCUGUGUGCAGAUGGAGGGCUCUGUCCAGAGGUAUGCUGGCUACUGAAAAUCCUCCACUGGGCUUGAUGUCAGGCAGCCCAUAUGAUGAUACUGCGUGCAGAACUGGGAAGAGAUUCACAGAAUCGGCUCUCGCAAGACAGGAGGAGCCAAGUCCAGCACACCACUGGCUCUGUCCCGGGACUGUGCCUUCCACAGGUCCCAGGAAGCUGGCUUACAGGGUCCUGUUAACUCACAGGGUCAGAGUUUCCUAGCCUGUCCUCGUGAAGGUGACAGUGAGUACGAUGGUGGCCGUAGUUGAUAUUGGGCUUGUGGUGAUUGAGGCUUCGGUUGCUGCCAUUGGCCUAUUUUCAGUGACAGGGGAGGGACCGGUCAAGGAAGUUCCUCCAUCUCCCUGGGGAAGCCGCUAGGAGGUGCCUGGGAGCUCUAGGACGGAUUAGGGUUAGGGCUUCCUUAGGGCUGGAUCAUGACUCCAUCCGGGACACUGGAAACCUGACGUGGCCUAAUGGACACGCGUCCUGCCACUAUCCCCCUCCCCCUUCCCAGUGAUGAGCUAGCAUCAUGUCACUGAGGAGACAGGAGCUGAGCCGGGGGGAAGCCCUCACCUUACCACUACUGAAUCCGUGCACCUCCCUAGGCGCAUCUCCUCUUUCUUCCUGAUUUAUGCUUGAGGACAAGUCCCUCCUCUUAUUUAAAAAAAAGGGGGGGGCACCUGGGUGGCUCAGUCGGUUAAGUG